Sapajus apella (tufted capuchin) is the source of this 92-nucleotide long non-coding RNA. RefSeq lists it as uncharacterized. The transcript is spliced from 3 exons. The record is from RefSeq and is a predicted model, not a curated record. NCBI's taxonomy places the organism in Eukaryota, Metazoa, Chordata, Mammalia, Primates, Cebidae.
UGUGAAAUAAUUGGCAUUAAACCCCCAUGACACGAGCUUACCUAUAUAGCAAACCUGCACAUGCACUCCUGAACCUCAAGUAAAAGUUAAAA